UUGAGAAAAAAAUGUUAGAAGAAAAUGCAAUAUAGAAGAGGAGAGUUUCCCAUGGUCUCUUCCUCUUUUGAAAUAAUCAUCUCUUUUAUUCAGUCCAAGACAGCCUUCCAGAAGAUGUGGCCCAGUCUUGCCUGCCUUUCUGGACAACUUGUGCCACAGAUUUUUCAUCUCUAAAUAACCCAUACAUAUAUAUAGAUGAAACUGUGGUGGAAUGUGCUCUUCUGUUGUACUUUUCCUCAUUUUGAACCUGAAGGUGUGUUUGGAGAACUCCAAAAGAGACGUACUGAGAUCAUCUGCUGGUUGCUGGAAGAUGCUGGCUUCAAAAACAAAGAGAAGUGCUGCUUUCCUUCACACAGAAAAUUCUUCCCACUAGAUGGAAGGGAUAAACUAAUAUGUAGCAAAUAAACUGCCUGCCUAAUUCUGAUCCCCACCUCUCCCAGGUGCAUAAUGAAAAAUGGAUUGGUAAUAUUUUUUCUGCUUAUAUAGACCUGGGGCUUUGAUCUUCCAGUGGGAUGAGAAGCAAAGUCCAUGAGGAACAGAAAAAAAUUAAUGAGGUGCCAUGGGGUCAAGUCAGUCUCCCCCUGCUGAUUGUGGUACUUGUGUGGAUUAGGAAGUACAUUAGAGGGUGAGAGAGCCUUCCAGGAAUGGCUGUCCCAGCAGGACAGUGGGUACACUUGGGAGAGGUUGCCUCUGACCUUUAGGCAUGAUGUGUGGAUCAGCAGAGUGUUUUUGAAGAAAAUGUCCUGUUCCUACUUCCCAGGGUUUGUUUUGCAUCGUGGAGCAGUGUCAGGGUGUAUGAACUGGCCUCUCUUUUUGCUGCUACCAAAGGAUGGAAGCACCUCAGGAGAGCUGGAGGUCCAAAUGGGCAUUUGUUCCCUGGGACCAGAGCUGAGCUAGACCUUGUAAAGACAAGACACCCAGAAGGGUGCACAGGGUACCCAGUACAGAUAUGGCCAGUGUAAACUUCUCUCUUUGGCUGUUAUUGCUCCCUGCACCCAACCCCAAGGCUGUCAUAGGGACCUGGAGGCUGGAGGAUGACUCAGAGCUGACCCUGCCAAGAGAGCACUCUUGGAGGCUGCUGUUCCUCUGGGAGAGAUGUGGUUGGGGCUAGAGAGAGCCUGGCAUGAGGUUAUGGCUUGACUUCUCA
Molecule: long non-coding RNA, 1147 nt
Filed under: Cyanistes caeruleus (blue tit)
Lineage: Eukaryota; Metazoa; Chordata; Aves; Passeriformes; Paridae
Description: lncRNA (ENSCCEG00000010270.1)
Source: RNAcentral